UGCUACCUACGGGAGGCAGCAGUAGGGGAUAUUGCACAAUGGGGGGAACCCUGAUGCAGCGACGCCGCGUGGGUGAAGGAGUGCUUCGGCAUGUAAAGCCCUAUCGGCAGGGAAGAAGCAAGACGGUACCUGACUAAGAAGCCCCGGCUAACUACGUGCCAGCAGCCGCGGUAAUACGUAGGGGGCAAGCGUUAUCCGGAUUUACUGGGUGUAAAGGGGGCGCAGACGGCGAUGCAAGCCAGGAGUGAAAGCCCGGGGCCCAACCCCGGGACUGCUCCUGG
RNAcentral lists this ribosomal RNA (281 nucleotides) under uncultured bacterium. Its description in RNAcentral is "partial 16S ribosomal RNA". It matches the Rfam family "Bacterial small subunit ribosomal RNA", at positions 333 to 630 of the family's 1533-position model. The record is from RNAcentral.